GGCUCAGGACGAACGCUGGCGGCGCGCCUAACACAUGCAAGUCGAGCGAGAACCGGGACUUCGGUCCCGGGGGCAGCGGCGAACGGGUGCGUAACACGUGAGCAACCUGCCCCGAAGACCGGGACAACCCGAGGAAACUCGGGCUAAUACCGGAUGCCCUCACCGGAUCGCAUGGUCCGGCGAGGAAAUGGAUUCCGCUUCGGGAUGGGCUCGCGGUCUAUCAGCUUGUUGGUGGGGUAACGGCUCACCAAGGCGACGACGGAUAGCUGGUCCGAGAGGACGAUCAGCCACACUGGGACUGAGACACGGCCCAGACUCCUACGGGAGGCAGCAGUGGGGAAUCUUGCGCAAUGGGGGAAACCCUGACGCAGCGACGCCGCGUGCGGGAUGAAGGCCUUCGGGUUGUAAACCGCUUUCAGCAGGGACGAAAUUGACGGUACCUGCAGAAGAAGGCCCGGCCAACUACGUGCCAGCAGCCGCGGUAAUACGUAGGGGCCUAGCGUUGUCCGGAUUUAUUGGGCGUAAAGAGCUCGUAGGCGGUUCGGUAAGUCAGGUGUGAAAUCUCCACGCUCAACGUGGAGGCGCCACCUGAAACUGCCGUGACUCGAGUCCGGUAGGGGAGUGUGGAAUUCCCGGUGUAGCGGUGAAAUGCGCAGAUAUCGGGAGGAACACCAGUAGCGAAGGCGGCACUCUGGGCCGGUACUGACGCUGAGGAGCGAAAGCGUGGGGAGCGAACAGGAUUAGAUACCCUGGUAGUCCACGCCGUAAACGUUGGGCACUAGGUGUGGGACUCUAUCGACGGGUUCCGUGCCGUAGCUAACGCAUUAAGUGCCCCGCCUGGGG
This 843-nucleotide ribosomal RNA is filed under the name uncultured bacterium. Its description in RNAcentral is "bacterial SSU rRNA". It matches the Rfam family "Bacterial small subunit ribosomal RNA", at positions 21 to 878 of the family's 1533-position model. The record is from RNAcentral.